AGUUAUAGCUUAAUUUUAAGCAUCUCGUUUACGUUGAGAAGAUCACUAAAUAUUGUGUAACUUAAAUA
Molecule: transfer RNA, 68 nt
Filed under: Caridina sp. FB-5
Lineage: Eukaryota; Metazoa; Arthropoda; Malacostraca; Decapoda; Atyidae
Description: tRNA-Val
Source: RNAcentral